This 206-nucleotide ribosomal RNA is filed under the name uncultured bacterium. RNAcentral's name for it is "partial 16S ribosomal RNA". It matches the Rfam family "Bacterial small subunit ribosomal RNA", at positions 1289 to 1500 of the family's 1533-position model. The record is from RNAcentral.
CAGUUCGGACUGUAGGCUGCAACUCGCCUACACGAAGCUGGAAUCGCUAGUAAUCGCGGAUCAGCCACGGCGCGGUGAAUACGUUCCCGGGCCUUGUACACACCGCCCCGUCAAGCCAUGGAAGCCGGGGAGUGCCUGAAGUGCGUGACCGCAAGGAGCGUCCUAAGGCAAUACCGGUGACUGGGGCUAAGUCGUAACAAGGUAUC